This 572-nucleotide ribosomal RNA is filed under the name Arxiozyma pintolopesii. RNAcentral's name for it is "eukaryotic LSU rRNA". It matches the Rfam family "Eukaryotic large subunit ribosomal RNA", at positions 62 to 648 of the family's 3401-position model. Lineage: Eukaryota; Fungi; Ascomycota; Saccharomycetes; Saccharomycetales; Saccharomycetaceae. The record is from RNAcentral.
AAACCAACCGGGAUUGCCUCAGUAGCGGCGAGUGAAGCGGCAAGAGCUCAAAUUUGAAAUCUAGCGCCUUCGGUGCUCGAGUUGUAAUUUGUAGAGUGGAUCCUUGGGGCCGCUCCUUGCCUAUGUUCCUUGGAACAGGACGUCAUGGAGGGUGAAAACCCCGUGUGGCGAGGGGUGCGGCUCCGUGUAAGGGCUGCUCGAAGAGUCGAGUUGUUUGGGAAUGCAGCUCUAAGUGGGUGGUAAAUUCCAUCUAAAGCUAAAUACUGGCGAGAGACCGAUAGCGAACAAGUACAGUGAUGGAAAGAUGAAAAGAACUUUGAAAAGAGAGUGAAAAAGUACGUGAAAUUGUUGAAAGGGAAGGGCAUUUGAUCAGACAUGGUGUUUUGCGCCCCCUGCUCCUUGUGGGCGGGGGACUCUCGCAGCUCACUGGGCCAGCAUCAGUUUUUGCGGCCGGACAAAGCCGGAGGAAUGUGGCUUCCCUCGGGAAGUGUUAUAGCCUACGGGAACGCGGCCAGCGGGGACUGAGGAACGCGACUUUUGUCAAGGAUGCUGGCAUAAUGGUUAUAUGCCGC